GGGGAUUAGUUUAAUGGUAGAGCAGUGGUCUCCAAAACCAUUGAUAAGGGUUCGAUUCCUUUAUCCCC
This 68-nucleotide transfer RNA is filed under the name chicken gut metagenome. It matches the Rfam family "tRNA". From Rfam's summary of the family: Transfer RNA (tRNA) molecules are approximately 80 nucleotides in length. Their secondary structure includes four short double-helical elements and three loops (D, anti-codon, and T loops). Further hydrogen bonds mediate the characteristic L-shaped molecular structure. tRNAs have two regions of fundamental functional importance: the anti-codon, which is responsible for specific mRNA codon recognition, and the 3' end, to which the tRNAs corresponding amino acid is attached (by aminoacyl-tRNA synthetases). tRNAs cope with the degeneracy of the genetic code in two manners: having more than one tRNA (with a specific anti-codon) for a particular amino acid; and 'wobble' base-pairing, i.e. permitting non-standard base-pairing at the 3rd anti-codon position. The record is from RNAcentral.